CACGUACGCAACCUGCCCAGAGACCGGGACAACAUUCCGAAAGGGGUGCUAAUACCGGAUGCGGCCACAGGGAGACAUCUUCUUGUGUUUAAAGCCUCGCAAGGGGGCUCUGGGAGGGGCCUGCGGCCUAUCAGCUAGAUGGCGAGGUAACGGCUCCCCAUGGCGACGACGGGUAGCUGGUCUGAGAGGAUGGUCAGCCGGACUGGAACUGAAACACGGUCCAG
Molecule: ribosomal RNA, 224 nt
Filed under: uncultured bacterium
Lineage: Bacteria
Description: partial 16S ribosomal RNA
Rfam family: Bacterial small subunit ribosomal RNA
Source: RNAcentral